This 1144-nucleotide long non-coding RNA is filed under the name Capra hircus (goat). Its description in RNAcentral is "lncRNA (ENSCHIG00010017060.1)". Lineage: Eukaryota; Metazoa; Chordata; Mammalia; Artiodactyla; Bovidae. The record is from RNAcentral.
UUUUCCUCCAUGGAGCAAAAACAGAAAGUGACCGUGUUCUCAUUGGAACCAAGCUGCUGUUCACAGCAUAGCUCCAGGGCUUGCUUCUUUUGCCACUGAACGUGUCAAUCUGUAAAACUGAAAGAAGAUCCCGGCUAGGAGCCACGACUGCAAUCAGGAGAAAGAGAAGGAGGCUAGAGGAACUCUAGCCUCGAGUCACAGGCUUCUGUUUUUGGAGCUUGGAAGGAAGGACUGCCCCUGGACUAAGGUGCCGGGUAGGGAAGCGGCCCCAGGGUAACUUUAUCCCUGUAAUCACCACCAGAGGGGGCAGUCGCUCCACAUCGGUGGUCUUUGCCCUGCAGAGAAGGUGCCCCGCACCUAAGCCACGGGAGAGACCCUCUAAGGCUCUAAGGGUCCUUUCAGCGCUCCUCUGCCCCUGCCUGCUGCCUGCAUUUACUGAGCAAAUGUCGCUCUCCGAUAAGGAAGGCGCUGCAGGCCUCAUCUGAUCCCUGGCAGCUGGCUGUUUUCCCCCACUCUUAAACAGCUCCAGAAAUAAACUCCAGCACCUUACUUGGCUGUGUCACAGGCUCCCAGUGUGGGCUGCUGGCUGCCCACAGCCACUGAGACAGGAGCCAGGUGGGGGCAAGUAAAUUCCCUCAGGUGAGGCAGCUGUGCUCGAGCCCCGUGGAGGAAGCUGGCUUCCUCCUUCUGCCCGGGGUCGGGGCAGACAUCUGCUUCCACUCUCUGACCACCACACAGACCAGGCCUGAGAGCAUCAGCUGGACCCCUGGCCUGAGAACCUGAAGGCCGCCUCUUGGGCUCCUUGCUCUAAGAGGCACCCUCUGUGGGGGGAAGUUAGGGGUCAUGAGACAACCCCAUUUAGCAUUGACUCCCACCCCUCCUUGCCUGUGUCUCUGCUUCAUUCCAUCUGGUGUCCUCAGAGGAAAGGCUAAUUAAAUUGAAAAGGGCUGGCCUAUUUCUGGUGUUUUGCAGCUAAGACCUGGAGGAAUAGCCACAAAGUUUGGACGGAACUGCAGGGAGACUGAAGCGCUCUGGGGUUGGCUGGUUAUUCUAGGAUUGGCAGGCCCCAGUUCUAGUUCUGGUUCAGGUUCCAUCCCAUUCCCUGGGUCAUAAGAUCUGAGGUUGCGGUCAAGUCUGAAAGAAG